RNAcentral lists this ribosomal RNA (507 nucleotides) under uncultured bacterium. RNAcentral describes it as "bacterial SSU rRNA". It matches the Rfam family "Bacterial small subunit ribosomal RNA", at positions 26 to 518 of the family's 1533-position model. The record is from RNAcentral.
AGGACGAACGCUGGCGGCGUGCCUAACACAUGCAAGUCGAGCGGGGACAUUGCGACGGAGGCGAAGUACUCGUACGGAGUCAAAGAUGUAAUGUCUAGCGGCGGACGGGUGAGUAACGCGUGAGCAACCUGUCCCUUACAGGGGGAUAACACAGCGAAAGUUGUACUAAUACCGCAUAAGACCACAGAGUGACAUCGCUCAGGGGUCAAAGGAGCAAUCCGGUAAGGGGUGGGCUCGCGUCCGAUUAGAUAGUUGGUGAGGUAACGGCCCACCAAGUCGACGAUCGGUAGCCGACCUGAGAGGGUGAUCGGCCACAUUGGGACUGAGACACGGCCCAAACUCCUACGGGAGGCAGCAGUGGGGAAUAUUGGGCAAUGGGGGGAAACCCUGACCCAGCAACGCCGCGUGAGGGAAGAAGGUUUUCGGAUCGUAAACCUCUGUCCCAGGUGAAGAGGAAGAGACGGUAGCCUGGGAGGAAGCCCCGGCUAACUACGUGCCAGCCGCCGC